RNAcentral lists this ribosomal RNA (495 nucleotides) under uncultured bacterium. Its description in RNAcentral is "partial 16S ribosomal RNA". It matches the Rfam family "Bacterial small subunit ribosomal RNA", at positions 29 to 507 of the family's 1533-position model. The record is from RNAcentral.
AUGAACGCUGGCGGCGUGCCUAAUACAUGCCAGUCGAGAGAACAGAUGAGGAGCUUGCUCCUCUGACGUUAGCGGCGGACGGGUGAGUAACACGUGGAUAACCUACCUAUAAGACUGGGAUAACUUCGGGAAACCGGAGCUAAUACCGGAUAAUAUAUUGAACCGCCUGGUUCAAUAGUGAAAGACGGUUUUGCUGUCACUUAUAGAUGGAUCCGCGCCGCAUUAGCUAGUUGGUAGGUAACGGCUUACCAAGGCAACGAUGCGUAGCCGACCUGAGAGGGUGAUCGGCCACACUGGAACUGAGACACGGUCCAGACUCCUACGGGAGGCAGCAGUAGGGAAUCUUCCGCAAUGGGCGAAAGCCUGACGGAGCAACGCCGCGUGAGUGAUGAAGGUCUUCGGAUCGUAAAACUCUGUUAUUAGGGAAGAACAAAUGUGUAAGUAACUAUGCACGUCUUGACGGUACGUAAUCAGAAAGCCACGGCUAACUACGUG